CCGAGUGAGGGCCUCCGGGUCUGACCUCCCACCCUUUGAUGUUACCAACUCUGUUGCUUUGGGGGCGACCCGGCCGCCGCGCCGGGGCCCCAGGGGAUCAAACCAAUACUCUGCGUCGAUGCAUCGGAGUUUGAAGGGAAAUUCUUAAUCA
RNAcentral lists this unclassified non-coding RNA (151 nucleotides) under uncultured Ascomycota. RNAcentral's name for it is "sequence contains ITS1". Lineage: Eukaryota; Fungi; Ascomycota. The record is from RNAcentral.